CUUCUUGCACGUAACCACUCUUUAAUGAUGAUUAACUCAAAGAGAAAAAUUGAAAAGCAGAGUUCAAAAAAAUAGAAAACAAAUUGUUAUUUUUGAAAGUAGAAUAAACAUAUACUUACAUAAAAAUUACAGAGAUUCUGAUUUAAAAUAUUUGCUAAUGAUACGUGACCAUGGAACUGCUCGUUAUCAAAACAAUCUAUGAUGG
RNAcentral lists this long non-coding RNA (205 nucleotides) under Olea europaea (common olive). RNAcentral's name for it is "long non-coding RNA (OEUR_LNC010090)". Lineage: Eukaryota; Viridiplantae; Streptophyta; Magnoliopsida; Lamiales; Oleaceae. The record is from RNAcentral.